UUAAUGCCAUUUUCUUCCUGUCUUACUCGCUUAUGACAACCCCAAUGAAGUUUUAAGCUGGACUUUGGCAGUAAUGUUAAGUAGAGAUUUUCUCGGCCAACUUCAUAUUAUUUAGGGUUCUAUUCUUCCUUCACCUUGAACACAGAUGUGCCAUUCUCUGCUUGGAUGCACGCAGAAUAUUCUUGCUCACAGAAUAACUCAGUUGAAGCCCUGAGCAUGUAAAAGGAGGCCUCUCUUAGCAGCUGGGAAGAGAGAGUGGAGAGAAAGAGGGAUCAGGACAGAUGUGGACACGGCAGAAGAAGAGGAGCCUGCUGUGACGGACUUCCUUGAAAUGACAAACAAAUGUUUAUUUCUAAUGAAUUGGACAUUACAUUUCCAAAGUUAUAAGAUGGCCAACAGACCAUAAAAAGACAAUUAUUUAGUCUCCUGCUUGAAACCAACAGCUUCAGCAAACUGCUGGCCUUGAAUCAGGAC
Molecule: long non-coding RNA, 474 nt
Organism: Gorilla gorilla gorilla (western lowland gorilla)
Lineage: Eukaryota; Metazoa; Chordata; Mammalia; Primates; Hominidae
Exons: 3
Source: RefSeq, a predicted model, not a curated record